UCAUUUACAAUAAAAUCGUUUGCCAAGCC
This 29-nucleotide small RNA is filed under the name Bombyx mori (domestic silkworm). RNAcentral describes it as "ovarian small RNA-26387". The record is from RNAcentral. Lineage: Eukaryota; Metazoa; Arthropoda; Insecta; Lepidoptera; Bombycidae.